This 301-nucleotide ribosomal RNA is filed under the name uncultured bacterium. RNAcentral describes it as "partial 16S ribosomal RNA". It matches the Rfam family "Bacterial small subunit ribosomal RNA", at positions 509 to 809 of the family's 1533-position model. The record is from RNAcentral.
CAGUAGCCGCGGUAAUACGUAGGGUGCGAGCGUUAAUCGGAUUUACUGGGCGUAAAGCGUGCGCAGGCGGCCCGUUAAGACAGGUGUGAAAUCCCUGGGCCCAACCUAGGAACUGCGCUUGUGACUGGCGGGCUCGAGUACGGUAGAGGGGGGUGGAAUUCCUGGUGUAGCAGUGAAAUGCGUAGAGAUCAGGGGGAACACCGAUGGCGAAGGCAGCCCCCUGGGCCUGUACUGACGCUCAUGCACGAAAGCGUGGGGAGCAAACAGGAUUAGAUACCCCCGUAGUCCCUGUCUCUUAUAU